CCUACGGGGGGCUGCAGUGAGGAAUAUUGGUCAAUGGGCGAGAGCCUGAACCAGCCAAGUAGCGUGAAGGAUGACGGCUCUAUGGGUUGUAAACUUCUUUUAUAUGGGAAUAAAGUGAGGCACGUGUUCCUUUUUGUAUGUACCUUAUGAAUAAGCAUCGGCUAACUCCGUGCCAGCAGCCGCGGUAAUACGGAGGAUGCGAGCGUUAUCCGGAUUUAUUGGGUUUAAAGGGUGCGUAGGUGGGUAAUUAAGUCAGCGGUGAAAGUUUGUGGCUCAACCAUAAAAUUGCAGUUGAUACUGGUUGCCUUGAGUACAGUUGAGGUAGGCGGAAUGCGUGGUGUAGCGGUGAAAUGCAUAGAUAUCACGCAGAACUCCGAUUGCGAAGGCAGCUUACUAAACUAUCACUGACACUGAUGCUCGAAAGUGUGGGGAUCAAACAGGAUUAGAUACCCGGGUAGUC
This 460-nucleotide ribosomal RNA is filed under the name uncultured bacterium. RNAcentral's name for it is "partial 16S ribosomal RNA". It matches the Rfam family "Bacterial small subunit ribosomal RNA", at positions 338 to 795 of the family's 1533-position model. The record is from RNAcentral.